Small nuclear RNA from Dermacentor albipictus, 183 nucleotides. RefSeq annotates it as U2 spliceosomal RNA. NCBI's taxonomy places the organism in Eukaryota, Metazoa, Arthropoda, Arachnida, Ixodida, Ixodidae. The record is from RefSeq and is a predicted model, not a curated record.
AUGGCCGACGCGGGUCAAAGUGUAGUGUCUAUUCUUAUCAACUCAAUAUCUGUUACGGGUUGUAAUUGUACCCAAUGAGAUUAAAUAUUAAACUUUUGCAAGUUGGCGGAGUGCUCGAAGCCUGCUUCACCUCCGUCACGGGUCGCGCGAUAUUGCACUAUCUUCGCGAUCGGCGCACGGGAG